Long non-coding RNA from Anguilla anguilla (European eel), 2018 nucleotides. RefSeq lists it as uncharacterized. The transcript has 8 exons. Lineage: Eukaryota; Metazoa; Chordata; Actinopteri; Anguilliformes; Anguillidae. The record is from RefSeq and is a predicted model, not a curated record.
CGUGCAUCUCCGAGACUGAACGUCGUAAGAAACCAACUUGAUGGUUUCCCACCGCCGUCACAUACGGAGUACAGAGUGUACAGCUACCGCUGCUCAUCCAGAAGCGGCAUCCUACGGUGGAGCAAAAGGCCAUUAUCCGAGCGGCUGAGACCGUGGAGCUCAUCACAACUCCUGACCUUUAAAAACACUCAGCGAUGGAUUGCAGGACGGCGCGCGCUGGCGCAGGCGUCAGGACCGCAUCACGGUGGCGGACCGAUUCUCUUACUCACCGCAGUCUGCCAGCUGCUUAAUCACAGCCGAUGUGACCGCUGCCCAUUCCAACAAGGGCACCACCGGAAAAGUGAGGAAGGGGGAUUGGCCAACCAGCUAAAACCCGUCUCUGGGCUAUGCCAAGUGCUGUAGCCAGACUUUGCCAUCUCACCUUAUUGAUUGGGGCGGAGGAGGAAACAGAAGACUGUGUUUAUGAAUCUGCUACUGAUGGAUUCAUCUUUUCCGGGAAAGCUGAUUUGGGAAACUGCACCGGCCCGAAUCCAUUGUGCUGGCAUGAGGUAGCAGCUCCCUCAGUUGUGGGUUUCUGAGAGCGGGGCGGACAUAUCCAAAGAGGUGUUAAUCAAAGGGGAAGCAGUGGCAAACAGGCCCGUCUCUCGCUGUGCGUUCAAAGAAGGAGCCUCACCCCACUUCCACAUGGCCUCUCAGCCUCCUGACGACUGCUCUUUUACAGGUGCUCCGCACAUUCAUCACUCCUCGCCGCUCCUGGAUCAGGCAGAACCACCGCGGCCAAUCAUGCGCGCGUUACAGUGGGAACCAGUACAGGAGGCCGGCCCGAGCCCAGCCCUGUGAGUGUUAGCACACAAAUAUGUACUGCUCGGGAUAAGAGAGAGGAACGGUGGAGGAUACUUUGUUGUUACCAUGGGGACAAGAUAUAGUAAAUACAGACAAAAAUGAAUUGAAUACAGGACGUAGACUCCACCCUACACUGCCUGAAUCACCGCAGCUGAGUUUAUAGAAUCUGACAACCUGUUAGGAGAAGCCACCCCUGUAUGUGGAUGGUAAGGCUUUCUUUUAAAUUCUGUCUCAUCUGAAUAAGUUCUAAGGGGAGUGCUAAUUGUGCAAAGUAUGAAGCUGUAAGCGUGUCAUGUGACAGGUGCUGUCAUCCUGCUGUUGACGUGUUGGGCGAUUUGGUAGGUUCUUACGAAAUGGCAUAAUGAGACACUCCAGAAAAGGGAAAACCACACACAGAAACAACAUGUCAAUCCCCUUGAAGUCAGAUUCGGCGCAAAGACUCGGCCCCGCUUUCUUCUCGACGCGGUUCUUGACAGGCCGAGAAUCUCCUGCUCAGGUUUUUAAAAAAAUGUUUUAUUUCAUUCUGAAUACAUUAACGCCAGGCCCUAAUUUGCCGGCUGAUUUCCGUCAUGCAGUUGAGGCCCCCCCUACACUCAACGCCCUUUCCUCCAUGAUGACUUCUGAAGCUCUUAAUAAGAGUUAAACUGGAAUGGCUGGUGAUAUAGUCGCACAAUAGUGCCGUUCCACCUGCGAUAAAGCUCAUUUUCACUCUGCAGCCAGUCUCCUUUCAUGCUGUUCGCACUCCCCUGUUCAUAAGUCUUUUGACUGGGCUCAAAAGCCGUGAGAACACUGCAGACAUUGUGUAUCACACAUCACUGUCCAGCGAGAAAAUACUGCUGCGGUUUCCCAUGGACUGAAGACUUUUUCACGUUACUGUGCAUUACAGGAUAUUCUUACAUUUUUUACAUUUAACAAUCUAACAUCUUGUGCCCGGCAGAGAUUUUUUCUUAACUGCAGCUGUGAUGUUUUUUGUUCGAUCUCAAUGAUCUGCAACCCUGGCCCUGGAAAGCUAUAGGAUUUGACUGAUUAUCAUUGUUACUCCACAUAUAACUGAUUCGAUUAAUUUAGCUGAUUUUAUUGUAUACUCAACUCGCCUAGUUUUUAGUCGGAAUUAGUUACUGAUUUUAAGGUCGCAACAAAAGCAUAUCCAAUGGUGCUCCAUGACCAUGAGUUGC